UACGUAGGGUGCAAGCGUUGUCCGGAAUUAUUGGGCGUAAAGCGCUCGUAGGCGGCUUGUCGCGUCGGCUGUGAAAACCUGGGGCUCAACUCCGGGCCUGCAGUCGAUACGGGCAAACUGGAGUGUUGCAGGGGAGACUGGAAUUCCUGGUGUAGCGGUGAAAUGCGCAGAUAUCAGGAGGAACACCGGUGGCGAAGGCGGGUCUCUGGGCAACAACUGACGCUGAGGAGCGAAAGCGUGGGGAGCAAACAGG
RNAcentral lists this ribosomal RNA (253 nucleotides) under uncultured bacterium. RNAcentral's name for it is "partial 16S ribosomal RNA". It matches the Rfam family "Bacterial small subunit ribosomal RNA", at positions 524 to 776 of the family's 1533-position model. The record is from RNAcentral.